Molecule: long non-coding RNA, 4255 nt
Organism: Ahaetulla prasina
Lineage: Eukaryota; Metazoa; Chordata; Lepidosauria; Squamata; Colubridae
Exons: 3
Source: RefSeq, a predicted model, not a curated record
GAAGAGCCAUGCUGAGCAUGAAAGAUCAACUGGAAUUGAACACUGGAAACUGUUUCUUUCCAUCCUGGGAAAAAGAAAACUGCACUUCACCAUCAACCUGGUUGCAUUCAUGGCUAUGGCUUCCUGCUCUGCUAGAGUCUUCUGCCAUCUACAGAAGGAGAAGCAAUAUUUGGAAGGCUGCUUAUGAAUCCUAUGGACAUUUGACCAGUUGUGUCAAAGCCCAGAAAGUCUGCCUACAUCUUUGAGAUGAUUUCUGGUUAUUCCUCCCAGAUGUGGAAAAAUAUGGGCGCUCAAACUUCCAUCUAUCAAGUCAUUGGAUAAACACAGCAGCAACAUCUGUCAAGGCCCCAAUGGACUAGAGCCGGAAUAAGACAAAACACAUCUCUCUGGGAUACAGAAUUCCUCCAGAAAAUGACACUGUCUUUUAAAGUAAUAUUUUAUUUAUUAUUAUUUUAUUAUUAUUUAUUUUAUUAAAUUUCUAUACCGCCCUUCUCCCGAAAGACUCAGGGCGGUGUACAGCCAAAAUAAAACACAGAAUAUAUACAAUUAAAAGAAUUUAAAAUGAACUAUUACUAUGCGGCCGAUAAUUAAAACAUUUAAAAAAUUUAAAAUAUUAUUAAAACCCCAAUUUAAAAACAACUAUUUAUGCCAGUUCUGCUUGAAUGAAUAAAUACGUUUUAAGCUCACAACGAAAGGUCCGAAGAUCAGACACUUGACGUAAGCCAGGGGGGAGUUCGUUCCAGAGUGUUGGUGCUCCCACAGAGAAGGCCCUACUCCUGGGGGCCGCCAGCCGACAUUGUUUGGCGGACGGCACCUUGAGAAGGCCCUCUCUGUGAGAGCGUACGGGUCGGUGGGAGGCAUAAGGUAGCAGCAGGCGGUCUUUCUAGGAUGUUUCUAGGAUGUUGUUUAAAUACAGAUUUUCAGCAGCUUGGUUCUCCUCACCUAGAACAUUUUUUUUUCUUUUCAUAAACAUUAGCCACAUGUUGGCCCAAAAUGUUUUAAAUCACUACGGGUGAAAUCCAUUGAUAGGGCUGAGAAGUUUGAAUGCUUUGGUGGCUUUAAAAAAAAUGAUCUAUUUCAAAAUCAUUUUAGUUCAUUCACUAAAUCUGAAGAUCUUAUUUUCAACUUUUUUAAAAAAAAAACUGAAGAUAGUUUGAACAGAGAUCAGGGUUUUUCUAUAGCUGGUUAAACCAGCUUUGUGACUUUUAUUUAUUUAUUUUAUUUAUUUAUUUAUUAAAUUUUUAUACCGCCCUUCUCCCGAAGGACUCAGGGCGGUGUACAGCCAGAAUAAAAACAAAAUAUAUACAAUUUAAAACAACAUUUAAAAGAGCAAAUUUUAAAGGCUGAUUAUUAAAAUUUAGAUUUAAAAAUUUGAAAAUUUUUUGCUAUUGUUUCAACCAUUUGCCCACUCUGUCUAAAGAACACAAGAAAUCUUGAUGAAAAAACAGUGAAAUAUGACUUCUUUUUAAAAUCACUUUGAAUGUGGAUUCCUCUGCCUCUGGCCUGCAUUUUAAUGACAGUCAUUAAAGCAAUUAAUGCUGGCAUAAGAGAAAGCUUUUUUGAAAAUUCACUGCUGCUUUAGGUCAAGUCAAUUGUUAGGUUGAUGAAAUUAACAUUAAAACUUCCUUUAUCAAAAAUGAAGGUGGGUGUACUGAGACAGGACUCUUAGUGAAUCUCCUUCCAAAAAACAUUUCACUCUCCAAGGAUGUGUCAAAGAAAAAAGGGGUACUUCCAGACAAAAUUAAUGGCUUUGAAGAUAUUUGCAUAUAUUUGAAAACAUUUAUCUUAAAAUCUGACUUUUAUUGAGCACCAAGAAAUUCUGGGUUCCAUCUGGAAAACAUGAAUGGCCAAGAAAUUCAGCAAAUUUGUCCAAGUCAUUCAUACCAUCAGCCCAAGUGAUGUCACAAUGCAAUGCUUGCUCACAUUAGUCCUUGAGAUUAGGGACAAAUGCCAAUAUUGGAGGCACAGUUUAAUAUACUAUUAAAAUUCUUUGUGUCUAUGACUUCUAACUGGAUGAAACUAAGCAUCACAGGGCAACAGAUGAUUUGAACCAAGGUACCUCAAAUGGGCUAAUGUACAGAAUGCAUCCAAAAUCUGGGAUCCAAGAUUUCUGUGGAACUAACAUUUGGCAAAUUUCAUAAAACAUUUUAUGAUACAGUACAAAAUGCCAUAAAAUAUUUCCUGUGGUCAACUGCUAACGUUUGACUUUGUUAUACAGUACAACAUGGGUUACUUGCAAGAUGUACUCUGAAUAUCUCCCUGAAUUUUUAAGAAUUUUUCUAAUACAUUAGAAGCUCUGCCCUCGUUGAAGAUAUGUAGGAAUCCAGUAAAGGAAAUAUAUUUGAAACAGUGACCCAGCAUGUCAUGGGUUGCAUAGUUUUCACUCAUGCCAAGAACAUCUCUUAGUGGAGAACUUUGAAUGGAUGCAUGAGAAGUCAUGCAGGAGACCAGAGGGAUAUUCACAUGGCCACCUCAUCACUGCAAGAAUUCUACAUUUCAUCAGGAUAAUUUUCUUCCCCUUUGAAAGGACUUUAAAAGCAAAUUAUUGUUAACCAGUUGAACAUUGUUUAGUUUAGGGCACACUUUCAUGCAUUAGAUGCAACUUGGCUUUUUCAGAAAGUUCUGGGCACUAACAAAAGCUGUUGAUUGCUGUUAUGCUUGUUUUGUUCUUUUCUAUUGUUUUGUGAUCUUUCCUUUGUUCUUUCUUUGACCUACAACUGCUGCAAUUAGCCACUUUAGAUUGAUUCCAACAAGAACUGUUAGCUGCACAUCUUUAAAACAUGUAGCUAGAUAAAAUAGAGUAGAGGAACACAUAGUCUGUCAGUGCAACCACUAUCCCUAUCUGACACUUAUAUUUCCAUAUGUUUUACACAGGACUGCAUUAGACAAUAAAAGAGUCUAUUUGGCCUUGUGGUUAAAGGUACCAAGCUAGAAAUUGAGACCCUGAUUUCCAGCCCUCCCUUAGAAUGGAAGCUGGUGGUGGUUUGGGGCCAACUGUGCUCUCUCUGAACCAACCCAGCUCACAGUUUGAUGUCCUGAGCAACAUAGGAUGUGGAAAUAUACAUACGCCACUCUGAAUGGUACAAAUAAAAGUGGGAUGUAUACAUCUAAUUAUAAACAAACCGUAUUAAAGAAUUGUAGAACUGAUUGAUGCUUAAUUAGAGGAGAAAAGAACCUGAGAAACUCUGUGCUCGAUCGCGUCAACAUUUCUUCCCAUCCAUCAUCUUGUUUCCACAAUGGCCCAAUCACAUGCCAUUUGGAAGGCCACCAACAAAUUAGUACAAUGGCAUUCACAAACACCUGUGUUCCUCAGUGAUUAACAGGAGAAUUAUUGGACUCUCUCAGAUUCCAAACAAACCUGUCGCCAGGAGUAGAAUGCUUUCUUCAUUCCUAACUUAAAACAUGUUUUGUUAACUAUUGUCACACAGUUUCUCAAAGGUCAAAUCUUGGCUCUUUGUAGAAAAGUCAGACCAGUGGUGAAAUCUGAACCGGUUUACUAUCGGUUUGCUGGCUGCCUUCACGUACUACCAGGUACAAAGUGCAGGCGCGCAUGCGCACAGUGCAUGCCAAAAGGAGGCAUGGGGUAAGUAGAACAGUGUGCAUAGGGGGAUAAUCAGCUGUGGCGCGCGAUCUUUUUUUUUACUUUUAAAAGCAUUUUUUUACAACCUAUUCAGCUGAACAGGUUGUAAAAAAUGCUUUAAAAGUUAAAAAAAGGCUCUGAUGAUCAAGCAGGUUAUGAAUGGCAUGAAGAUGUAAAAGGUUGUGAGAGGCUGGAAAAAGCAAUAAAUCUAACAAUCAAGACAUAGAUGGCAAAUCAACAGACAACUUAUAAAUGGCAACUCAGUCCAUGUCAGCCAAGAUCUCCAGCAUGGGUUUUCCCUUUGAUGCUUGCUUGCUAUUGGCUGCCAUAGUAACGGGGGCAUGGCAUUGGGGUUGGGGAAGUGAGCUGGUGUGAAGACAGCCCACGUGAAUAAAAAGUGAGGUUUGCUUUCAUGAAUUAUUGCGCAGCUGAAUGGGGAUUGGACAUUCAGCCUGGCUCCCUGGGGGAGGGGGGGAUUUGGGGAAACUUUCAAUAUGUAACAUUCAUGCCUGUUCACUCAAAUCUUGAUUUUCUUUUGCUGAUAUCAUUUCAAACUCAGUAAAAGUACCUCUUCUCUACUUCAAUGGAGUUGGAGGUUUUCUUUCUUGGGAUUUGAACAGAGGCAAACAUGAAAGUCUAGGUCAGCGAUGGCUAACCUUUUUGCCAACAUGUGCC